AAGACCCCGCCAGUCCUCCGUUCCCUGGAGCCACGGCCGCCUUCAGUGCGCGCAGCCCCCGGAUAUUAAGGUUCACGCGGGUGCCAGCCAGAGCCAGAAGAAGUGGCGACAGCCCCCACCCAUCAUCUCUCCCCGAGGCAGAGCCAGGGCCACCGAGGCCGAAGUUCGAUUGGAGCGCGAUCGGGGCCCUGCGACGCCAGGACGGACGCCGCGGGAGCGGGGCCGCUGGAGCCCAGUGGCUGCCGGCCCAAGGGAAGACGCACAGGAGUCAUCGCGAGGAGCAAACUUUGGAGCUCUCGGCCUCGGGCCUCGGAGGGGUGAGAGGUUCCGACUGCUCGGUCUCUUUCUUCCGCAAGGCUGGGACCCCUCCACCUUCCGCUCGCCGCGCCGCUGGACUCCGAACCGGGGAUGGUACCCCGGCGACCCAGAUGUGCAAAAUUUCCCCCCAAACUGACCUUGACUGAAACAAAGAGACCAGCAAAAAGGAAGAUAUGGAAUUCAAGAAGCAGAGAAUCCAACACAGGAUAGAGAUGGAGGGAAUUCCAAGGAAAACAGUGAAGGGAAAAAAGGUCCACAUCUGUGCAGCAGACAUGGAGAGCCAUCAGCCCAGGCUGGAGCUGGAGGACAGAGGGCCAGGGGAGAGCUGCCCCCAGGAACAAAAAACACAACAACCCAAGCAAUGAUAGAUUUCCUGAUAAGUUUGACCUUGUGAAAAUUAGGGGAGAUUUGGCUAUGGGUACAAAGAAAGGUAAGUAAAUGAAAAAAUAAGGCACUGAACUCCAGGAAAAAUGAAAAGUUGUACUCUCUCUCCAAAAGGAAUUGUAGUUAUGGUACACUAGCAGCUAUCAGAGAACAAUAUUUAUAUGGUAAUAAUAUGUGAAUUAUUAUUUUAACCAAAAGUUGGUGAUUUGGGUGGGAAUGAGAAGGGAUAGAGAUUUCAGAGGUAAAUAACAAUCUAUCAUAACAGGAAGUUAAUCAUUACCGUUGUGAGAGAGUAGUACUAGUAUAAGCAUGGAAAUACAGAAGUAUAUUCAAAAAGAGACAGAUAAGAAUUGAAAGUAGAUGGUUCUAGGAUACAAAACAGGGUCCUGAAAAUUGGGUUAGGCCCCAUUAAACCCUUGUCCUUGCUAUUUGAACUGUUAGAUUAUAUGCUUAUUUCAAUUCAAUAAAAACAAGAAUUAAGUGUUAAAAAA
Myotis davidii is the source of this 1193-nucleotide long non-coding RNA. RefSeq lists it as uncharacterized. The record is from RefSeq and is a predicted model, not a curated record. The transcript is spliced from 2 exons. NCBI's taxonomy places the organism in Eukaryota, Metazoa, Chordata, Mammalia, Chiroptera, Vespertilionidae.